Molecule: ribosomal RNA, 429 nt
Filed under: bacterium
Lineage: Bacteria
Description: partial 16S ribosomal RNA
Rfam family: Bacterial small subunit ribosomal RNA
Source: RNAcentral
UGGGGAAUCUUCCGCAAUGGACGAAAGUCUGACGGAGCAACGCCGCGUGAGUGAUGACGGCCUUCGGGUUGUAAAGCUCUGUUAAUCGGGACGAAUGGUUCUUGUGCGAAUAGUGCGAGGAUUUGACGGUACCGGAAUAGAAAGCCACGGCUAACUACGUGCCAGCAGCCGCGGUAAUACGUAGGUGGCAAGCGUUGUCCGGAAUUAUUGGGCGUAAAGCGCGCGCAGGCGGAUUGGUCAGUCUGUCUUAAAAGUUCGGGGGUUAACCCCGUGAUGGGAUGGAAACUGCCAAUCUAGAGUAUCGGAGAGGAAAGUGGAAUUCCUAGUGUAGCGGAGAAAUGCGUAGAUAUUAGGAAGAAAACCAGUGGCGAAGGCGACUUUCUGGACGAAAACUGACGCUGAGGCGCGAAAGCCAGGGGAGCGAACGGG